Non-coding RNA from Schizosaccharomyces pombe (fission yeast), 611 nucleotides. Lineage: Eukaryota; Fungi; Ascomycota; Schizosaccharomycetes; Schizosaccharomycetales; Schizosaccharomycetaceae. The record is from the annotation of a GenBank genome assembly.
UUUGUAGCGCUGCAGUUUUUGACGGAAUUCUGUUCGCAACACUGGUUUGCUCAGUACGAGGAAUGCUCGAGAGUGUGGAAACUGAUUCUGCGUUGUGUACCGACUCAAUCUCGUUUAAAUUAAUUGUUUUAGCAACAGGUGUUGAUGCUGGACUUGGAUCAUUUAGUAACAAAUUGUUAGGAUUCGAGCUAGGUUUAUUGAUGGGUUGCUUUAGUGGGAAACUAGAGUCUAUUGUUUUCUGCAUAGAAGUAUCAGUACUAGAAGCGAAUAGGGCAAGCUUUUUCUUCAUUCUUUCGGAAGAGGCCGUAACUUUUUCGUUUAAUGGGCUACUUCGUCUCAUAGAAUCCUUUUGCAAACGCUCUGGCAAAGGUUUGGAUACUUGUGCUAAUGACGCUCCUUCUGCAACACUAGUGGAUAUUGCUGGUUGAGCAGUAGCUUCUACGAGCUUUCUUUUACAUGGUGAGCGUUUAUAAGAAAAACUUGAGUCAUCACUUGUUUCGGAUUCUGUUGCUGGAAUUGACUGAGGCAAUUCCUGAUCUGUACUGUCUCCAGAGGAAUCAGGAAUUUGCGAGGAAUAUGAAAAAAUGGAUUGCGAUCUGGAACAAGAAAUU